AGGGACAAACAUAUCUUUUGCAAAUAUCUGCCGAUAGUGAAUCAUGGGUGGUCACAUCUGCACCUUACAGUUAAUGCACACAGCUUCCCCACAAGAGUCUUAGGAACUGUAGUUUGUUUAAGGGUACUGGGAACUAUGAAAUUGGGUGAACUAUGGUUCCCAGGCUUUUUUGCAGGGAACCCUUGACUGUUAAAGUGGUAGAAGUGUGCUGUAAGUGUGUGGUGUGUGACUUUUGUAUCCCUCUGCACAGUGUGUUUUCAAGAUUACAAACCCAGCUUUGCCCAGUGUCAUGUGUGAACUGGGUCUUACGUUUGCUGCGCUGCACAUUGAAGAACAAUUGAGAAGCAAAGUAAGAAAAAGUCGAGUGGCUGUCUUGUCUCUUUCCUUGUUUUGUAUGGAGUUGCAUAACUCCAGGUUUAUUUCUGUUGUUCAUUUUCUCCCUUGUGUUGCAUACUGCUCACUUUAUGGUUCUUUCCACUAAAUUCAUGAUUCUUAACCCUGCCCUGAGGGGAAGUGUGAGGCAGUGAUAGAUCCAGUGCUGUUUCCCUUUUUGUUUAUUCCUAAACUUGCUUUGCCCCCAUCCGACUCCUUUCUUAUUUAUGCAGUGGAAACAAAGGAGGCUUCAUGGGUUGCUAAGAGACGCUCUCCCAGGGUAACUGGCCACCAAUUCUUGUAUUAAUGAUAACUUCUGGGCCCACUUCAGCACCUCCUUUUAGGACAAUGGGUAGCCCUUCAGAGCUCUGCUUGCCUCUUUGAAAUCUUCUUGUCACCCUUGGCUUUUCUGGCAGGGUGAGAAGCCACAUGACAGCUGUCAGGUGUGGGGUACCUGUAGGGCUCUUUUGGAAUUUCAUACCUGGGUCGGAUAAGAGUGUCAGACUGAGGAAAUCCAGGUUCAAAUCCCCCCAGUUCACAGAAUCAAAGACUUGUAGAAUUGGAAGGGACCUUGAGGGUCAUCUAGUCCAACCCCCUGCCAUGCAGGAAUCUCAGCUAUAGCAUGCAUGACAGAUGGCCAUCCAACCUCAACUUUGGGGUUUCACAUUGUGCUGUAGAGCAACUCACACUCCCUUUUUUCUCAGCCUGACCUGCCUCACAGGGCUGUUGUGAUGAUAAAGCCCCACGUUAUGCCCAGAAAAGGGAGGGAUACCAUUGUGAAUAAGUGAAUCAUUGGGUCAUGUGUCUUCCUCAUGUGCAGCCCAUCGUUUUCUCUCAUCCAAGGCUGCUGUUAAUAAUAAUAAUUAUUUUAUUAUUUAUACCCUGCCCAUCUGGUUAGUUUUCCCCAGCUUCUCUGGGCAGCUUACAGCUUAUAUAAAACAUAAUAAAACAUCAAACAUUAAGUUGUGUUUGAGUGGUGUGUAAACCCUGUCCCGUAAGCAGUGUUGGGGAAAACAAUUAAUUCCUGGAUGCCAAGAUCCAAGUUUGGGGCAAGUGCUCUUUGGUGAAAGAACUCCAGCAGAGAUUCAAAAUCACAAAACACGCAGCAAAUAAAGUGUGCGCAUAUAGGCCGUCUAACCUUAAAUGUGCUCUUUAAAGUUCCUACCAAAGUUUCCCACUUCCCCCAGCAUAGAAAGAUACCACACAUCUGGUAAUUUAAGAAUGUUUUACUUACAAACUCUCCAAAGGUCAGAGUCAUGUGCUUUUCCAUAGAGAAUCAUAGAAUUGUAGAGUUGGAAGGGACCAUGAGGGUCAUCUAGUCCAACCCCCUGCAAUGCAUGAAUCUUUUGCCCAAUGUGGGGCUCAAACCCACAACCCUGAGAUUAAGAGUCUCCUGUUCUACCAACUGAGCUAUUUCACAGAUAGUUGCACAGGCUGUAAAGUGUAGCUUGGUUACAAAAUGGUUCAAGUUCCUAAACUAUUGGUAUAGGAGAACAUUCAUUUCACACUCUGUUCUUGUCUGGAAAAAAGAGGCUGGUUAAAGCCAUGCAGCUGAGCUGGAGCAACCAUCCCAGACCUCCUCACCCACUGAAUGCUCAGGUAGACUGAAUGAAGCCAAGACUUGAUUGCCUAUUUCCUCCCAAGGUGAGGGGAAGUGACAUAGCUAAGUCGGGCAGGACAGCUUCCUCUAUGGUUUUAACCCCUUCAUGCAUUAAUUCGACUUAAGCAUGUUGGUUAUAUGAGGCCAGUUAUCCCACAAGCAGUACAGUAACACUCUUUAAUAAAUAAUGAAUAGUAUUGUCUACUGAGACUGCUAGUGGCUCUUCAAGGGAGAGGUCCCCACCUCCCACCCUCUCAUGCUUUAUUGCCUGGAGAUGCCAGUGAUUGAACCUGCAUGCAAAAAAAGUAUGCGCUCCACCCCCGAGUUAAGGCCUGAUUCCAGCUAAGGGCAGGUUUACAAGUACACAAGUGAUGAUUCACAACUGAAUGUGUGAACAGACAUCUGUUGAAAAGCCUUUGUAUUUGGAGAGAUACAAAAGUUCUGCUGGUGUUGUUUAAUAUGAGAUAAGAGCAGAAGGAGAGCUCACCUGGAUCCGGGCGAAGGCCAGUCUCGUUCAGCAUCUUGUUUCCUGCAGUGGUCAAGCGGAUGCUCUGCGAAGGCCACAAGGAGAGCCUGAAGGCGAGGGCACUCUUUUGGCAAUGCCCCCCAGAAACUGAUAGAUUUAGAGAAUACCAAUUCUGAUUCAUCUAGCAGCCUUCUGCCAGCAUUGCUUGGGGAUUCUAUGAAGCCAAAACAACAACAACACCCCCCACCCAGUGCAGUUUUGAAAUCAGCAGUUAAAAGCAGUGCAGUUUUGAAAGGGUGAGUCUACCAUCUUGAUUCAAAAUGGCAUCCAGUUGUAUCCAAACAUAGACGAAAACCUGCUCCUUGGUCUCAGGAACCAUUAUGCAAAAUUUGCUUAGGAUACCUUAAGGUGUCCAGUUCACAGAGAACAAACAGCUUUCCAAAAAUAUAUAGUCGAUAUCUUAGUAAAGCUCCAGGCACCUAUGAAUCUUAGUACAGUGGUACCUCGGGUUACAGAUGCUUCAGGUUACAGACUCCUCUAACCCAGAAAUAGUACCUCGGGUUAAGAACUUUGCUUCAGGAUGAGAACAGAAAUUGCAUGGCGGCGGCACAGUGGCAGCGGGAGGCCCCAUUAGCUAAAGUGGUAUCUCAGGUUAAGAACAGUUUCAGGUUAAGAACGGACCUCCGGAACAAAUUAAGUUCUUAACCCGAGGUACCACUGUACCUUUAAAUUCUGAGUGUGAAACAAAGAUUAAGAAUCAGUUGUGUGUCUGGAGGGCCGAAGAUCCAAUGGGGUGAAAGCAAACAACAGCCUCAAGGACUGAAAUUUUACCUUAUUAGCAUUCCUUGCAGUUGAAAAAGGUUGAAAGAGAGUCCUCUUAGCUUGUUAGUUUCUGCUAAUUCUAUUUAAGAUUUCAUAACUAACUUUUAAAAUUAAAUGGCCAGCUGAUGCCAGCCUUAAUGAAUGUAUAUAUGUGUAUGUAAGAGUUUUAUUUGGGAAUAAAAAUAUUUUUGCAAUUCUUUAGCACUUCCUCUAAUGGUCCGUGGUUGCUUUUGUGGACGUUUUGAAUGUCAUCCAGCAACAGCUGUUCAUUCAUGACAACUUAUUUUAAGUGGCAACUUGUUUUUCCCCUCCCCUCUACCUGUGUUUGACAAUUAAGAACUGUGUUGUGAAACAGAUCUCUUUAAUGAAGAGGAAAAACCUGGAACGUGUGCCAUGGCGCUGAGGCUGUAUUUACAGGAAACAUUGUGGGUUUAUUACCCUAAGGUUAGGCAUCACGUAGAUGGCAAUUUAAGUGCCCAGGGCGUGUUGAAACGAGGCUUUAAACAAAUUAAUCUGCAUUAUCAUGGAUGCCUUAAGAUUUGUUCAUAAGCAGUUUAUUAUCUUUCUGCUUUGGGCUGUGCUGCAAUAUGGGAGUUUUUCAAUUCGUAGAGGUGGGUGAUUUAAUAUUUGUACAUUUUGUAGAUACAUGUGAAUGAUUAAAUAUUUGUAUCUUGCAGUUCUGUUGAUUUUUUUCCUACCACUUGAAGAUGAUGAUAAUAAUAAUAAUAAUAAUAACCACAUUUUUUAAGAUUAACUCCCCUCUAACCACUAAGUAAUACAGUACUAUACUAGUGAUACACCACCUAAAAACUAAUCCUUUGCUGAAAUAUAGACUCCCAUGGGUUUUUAAAAUUUAUGUUCCUUGCCUAGCCAGAAUCUGUGAGUUAUUUUUUAAUUAAUUUAUGGAUUGUAUGAAUUCAUAAUUUAUGAAAAUGUGUGUACAAACAUGUAAAAACAGCUAAACUAGUGCAAAAAAUUGUUGAAGAGACGUUUAAAAACAAUACAAAAUGAACAACUAAGGCAGAGAUCUCUUCAUCCAGCUGAAAAACGUUUUCAAAACAAAAAUGCCUUCAGUUGUUCCUUGAAAGUAUGCCUAGCGGGUGUCUGUCAUAUCUCAAAAUGAACGAUUUACUGGGAAUAGAUGACGUAAGGUGGUCUCUCAAGUCAACUGCUGUGUUGUUUAAGGUAUGGGACUGAUUUAGGUAACAGCCAGUAUUUCUGUGUUCAGAAAUCAGGGUGAAGAAUUGCUGCUUUGUCCCAGAGUCUUAGAGGUCUGCAGCCAGAACUGUUUCACAGCCAACCUCUCUUACCAGGGAACUCCGGGAAUUAUAGCUCUGUAAGGGAAAGGGGGCCUCUUAAUAACUCCCACCACCCUUAGCAAACUACAGAUUCCAGGCUUCUUUGGGGAAAGCCAUGACUCUUUAAAGUGGUAUGAUGGGGCCUAAAGUGAUCUUCCUGCUACCUAAUGUCCUUUCUUGGCUUCUUCUUUCCUCAUCCCAAGUCAAUUCCUGCUGUGUAGCAUCCUGCCUGAUGAAAAGAUCUGGAGAACUUGAAAACUUGCCACUAUCUUUUGACACUUUGGUUGGUCCCAGUGAAGGUAUUGCCCCAUUGCGGAUUUUGAAUUUGAAGAAAAGUCAGCUGGGGUUGGGCACAAAUGUCAACUCCGGUUUCUCUCAGUUUCUUAUUUUUUUCCCAAACGUAAGUUUUAUUCUCCACAUUUCUACAUCGGUUUUUGAUUGUUUAAAGUGUUUCUCAUGAAAAUUCAUCAGCAUUUUAAUGGAAAUUUCUCAUAAUACACACAUUUUUAAUGCAACUUUGCUUAAUUGGCAAAGUUUUGUGUGCAAUUUGCUCUGCCAUAAUGCCUUUUUGUAUGCUUUUUUCGCUUAUAUGCAUACUUUCCCAUCAUAUCUGCAUUUUUGUUUACAUCAUUUGGUUAGAUAGGUACAGUCCAAAAUUUAGAGAAGUUCAAUUUUUGAAGCUGCGUUUUGGUUUGCAUAUUGUUUGAGGAAGUGAGAUUUAGGUAGGUUUGCAUUAAUAUGUGAGCUGAAUUUCUCCCCUUUCCCUACACUUGUCUUCAUAAGACCAUAAAACACAUUACAGUGGUACCUCAGGUUACAUACGCUUCAGGUUACAGACUCCGCUAACCCAGAAAUAGUGCUUCGGGUUAAGAAUUUUGCUUCAGGAUGAGAACAGAAAUCGUUCUCUGGCGGCAGCAGGAGGCCCCAUUAGCUAAAGUGGUGCUUCAGGUUAAGAACAGUUUCAGGUUCAGAACGGACCUCCGGAACGAAUUAAGUACUUAACCUGAGGUACCACUGUAAUUUGAAACUUCUGCUUACUUUCCUUUCCUGAAGCCUUCCGUUGAGUUAAAUGAAAAUACUAAGCAUUAUUACAGGCCUGAAAGCAGUCACUUCUGGCUGCCUGUGAUGAGUUUGAAUUGUAGUCAGGUGACCAGGCCACAAAACCUGGCGAAACUUUCUUUAGAGACCACUGUAUAAGCAAAAUAAAAAUAGCACCAUGUAUUUCAGCUGCUCAGUUAAGAUCAUCCCAGGCAAAAUCAGCUCAGGAAUGCUGUGCUUCAUGUUAUAAAACUUCAGUUUUCUAGUUGGCGUGAUAAUACUGUGAUAAAUUCUUACCAGCCAAGCACCCCAUUUUAAGCGGGACAGCCCCACUUUCUCAUCCCAGAGCGCCCUGAUUUCGUGUGGCAGGUGGGCAAGGGUGCGAGGGAAGUGGGAGGAUGGGCAGAGAGCGGAGAUCAGGCGGGUGGGAUGGUGCAAUGUGUGCCCCCCACUUUGCAUGCCCUCAACAUUUCGGGAGGGAAAAUUCCAGAGCCCCAUUACUCAGAACGGAGCAAUAGACUUCUUAUCAGAUCUUCAUGUAACAGUCUUUGCUUUUUAAAUAUUACUUAAAGUUGAGGGGUCCUAAUCCCUCCUUCCCCCUUACCUUCAAGGUGGAGCUGCACACACACCUGUGUACAGCAACAACUUUUUUUUGGUGUCACACGAAUUUCAGAUUCAUUUUGGGUUUUUCUUUCAUGGUGUGUUUUCAUGUGUUCACUGAAGCUGUGCAUCUAACAGCCGAAACGUUUGCUGUGAUUUUUUGGCCAUCUGGUAUGUGGGAGUUCUUAGUCGUUUUCCUAAUUUUAGGCCGUUGGCAACUGCCUGAAAAGUUGGGGCAAUUUAGUAUUCAACCAUGGAGAAGUUCUUU
This is a non-coding RNA of Podarcis lilfordi (Lilford's wall lizard), 6464 nucleotides long. Lineage: Eukaryota; Metazoa; Chordata; Lepidosauria; Squamata; Lacertidae. The record is from the annotation of a GenBank genome assembly.